UCACUUUGGGAUGAAGUGUGGGAGAAAAAGGGGGGAGAGGCUUGAGAGAAAAAAGGAGGAGAGAAAAGGCUGAAAAAAAAGUGCGAGGAAGCACACACAACACAGAACGAAAAGUUCAUGCAAUCCUACAGCAAAAGACUGGUGACCUUUUAAAAGGCUCAAAUAACUUGCAGACACCCGGCUAUCGUCUCGAGCUAAAUUCAGGAAAGCUAAUUUGAUCAACGGCUGGAAAGACGAAGACGAGGGGGAGGUGAAGCGCUGAAGAAGAGGUCUGCAAAACAUUGAGGGUCAAAUUUAUGUGCCAUAUUUAGGAGGACUGGAACAAGCUACCUACUGAGCCACGAACGUGAAAUCUACCCCAUUUCCAAAAGGAAAUUUUGAAAAGAUCCCCUUUGCCAAGGAUCAAGAUGGACUUAAAAGACCUCAAGGAGUUCGGUCUCACGAAGGUUAUGCAAAAGCUGCAAGGGCUGCCACAAGCCAAUCCACUAGAAAUUGGGGCCUUUUGCGUGAUCGUCCUCUUUGUCACCACAUUCUUUACCAUGAUGAUCGUUUCUUGCCUCCACUGCUGCUGUUGUGUGGACACAAAGUAUCAGGCCUCCAGAGUGGAACCGCUGCAGCCCAUUUGAAGAUGUUAAAAAAAAAAAAAAAAAUUGGAGCUUUAAAUGAAUGAAGCAUUAUGCUCCAUAUUAACAUGGGGAGGGGGGAUAUUGAAGGUUGGUUUUUUUGUAGGAUUACCAUCAGAGUGUGUUUCAGUCACUUAGAGGAGUGAAUCUGAAUCAGAAAAUUCUAACUGUGUCACAACUCCUUGGUCAAAAAUAAGGAAGCAGAUGAGUCCUCCCUAAAUUCUUACUGUUAUUAUUCAUCAAGAAAGGAGACCACACCACAGAAUUAUUGCUUGCUUCAUGUAUGUUGUACUUUCAUAUUUUUAUGUAAAGUUCAAUUUGAAUACUUAACACUUUUCCGGUAAUUGUGUACAAAACUUAUGUUGUUGAACAAUGUCUUUUGGAUAAUGUCACAGUUUAUGUCCAUAGAUACGGCUUGAAGGAAUUGAUAAAAAAAUUUGUUGGAGUUUUAACAAUUGGCUGAAUUGGGGAGAUGUGUAAGUUGCAGUAGGAUCCAUACAAUAUUUAAAUACUCCUACUCAGGUACAUUUUUUGAACUACGAUUAGCCUUUUUGUUAUUCUGUGUUAUGCACCAUAUUGCACAUGACAUCCCGAUGCGAGAAAUGUCACAAACACGAAACUUAUUCUUGUAUUUUACAAGAGCAUAUCAGUAUAUAAGGAUGAAUGAGUGUGAGUGAAUUAUUUUCUAUAAAUAAACGAUGUUGAAAAUCACAA
Long non-coding RNA from Hippocampus comes (tiger tail seahorse), 1337 nucleotides. RefSeq lists it as uncharacterized. NCBI's taxonomy places the organism in Eukaryota, Metazoa, Chordata, Actinopteri, Syngnathiformes, Syngnathidae. The record is from RefSeq and is a predicted model, not a curated record. The transcript is spliced from 3 exons.